GUCUACGGCCACGCCACCUUGAACGUGCCCAAUCGCGUCUGAUCUCGGAAGCUAAGCAGGGUCGGGCCUGGUUAGUACUUGGACAGGAGAACCCCUAGGAAUACCAGGUGCUAUAAGCA
RNAcentral lists this ribosomal RNA (119 nucleotides) under Pteropus alecto (black flying fox). Lineage: Eukaryota; Metazoa; Chordata; Mammalia; Chiroptera; Pteropodidae. The record is from RNAcentral.